This 18027-nucleotide long non-coding RNA is filed under the name Medicago truncatula (barrel medic). RNAcentral's name for it is "long non-coding RNA (MTRU_LNC000711)". Lineage: Eukaryota; Viridiplantae; Streptophyta; Magnoliopsida; Fabales; Fabaceae. The record is from RNAcentral.
UUGAAGAAACCAUCUUCCUGAAAAGUUUGGGUUAAAGUUCCUUCUAGGGAUGACUUGACAUGGCCUUUCAAAUCCUCGAGUACGUCAGAUUUCUCACCAGAAGACAGCUUAUAAGGUGAUUCCUUUAGCAGCGUAUCCAGAGCUGAAAUAGCAAGUAUCCUUGUCUGAGGAAAUUGACUUUUCAAAUUCUUCAAGAAGUGUCCUAAAUAAGAAACAGUAUGAAUAGCAUAAAGACAGGUGCAUAAAAAAAGUGCAGAAAUGCUGACUUUGAAUGUGCAAAAGGCUAGCCAAAAAAAUAUAAAAGAAAACAAAAGAUCCAGAAGCAAACAAGAAGGAUGUACAAACCAGCAGUUUCACUCAGGAUUUUAGAAGAUGAAUUUGGAUGACUCCGAGACGCCAAAGCCAGCAGGAGCAGAACUCUGUUAGCCAUCAAAUUAUACCUGAAAAAACCGAAACUAUCAGGUCAACAUUUUAAAUGUGCAAGAAUCUUAACAGAAAGCUUAAACGAGUUGACAAAUUGUGAAGCACCAAGUAAAAAGUAAAAUAAAUGAAAAGGAAGCAGAUGAGAGACAGAACACAAAUAUACAGAAGAACAACUCAUUAAUCAUGAGUCGCUAUUUUCAAACCAAAUGGAUGUACACUUACCGCCAAUGCAAGCCAGUAGAAUCAAAACUCAUACAACCAAUCUGAGAAACCAAAUCGGAAAACCCCAGUCCACCGUUAUGAUUUUCUUUGUCUGAUAUCCUGAAAAAGCUUCUAGGUACUCCAGAAAAUUGGUUGUUGUACUUCACAAAAAGCUGUUGGAAGUUUAGGAGAUGUUAAACAAUGAAAAGCACAUAAUAAAAUUGCAGUAAUCCGAUGCAGGGAAGCUUACGUCAAUAAUUGCUUUCUGAGAUUUCAGGGAUUCGUGAUGAGAACUUCAAAGAAGAAGCAAGGAAAGUAUUAUUCUCUAAUGUUACACAAGUUAUAGCGAUUUUUAUCUAAAAGGGGAAACAGAGAAAAUAGAAUUACCUUGAUAGAAUUGACAAGAUAAAUGAAGAGAAUGACUUUUGAUCCUAGAAUCAAAGAAACUAUGUAAGAGGAAUGAAAAUAUUAGCUGUCAAUAAAAGAAUUUUAAAAACCUAAUCCGUGACAAUCACCGUAGUCAAAUGCUUGAGAACUGUUUGUGAGGCAAGGACUGAACAAGAACCCAAGACUGUGUACUCCUUGGCAUUGGGGUCCUGCAAGUUAAUAGUAAGACUGAUGACACAUUUUGAAAUCAUAGAAGGCCAUCUCUUGAUCAGCUUCACUAGAGCUUUCUUUGCCGGCCUGGAUCAUAAAAGAAUCUUAAUCAGGCAUAAAACAGCACAGUAGUUGUAUUCAGUAAAACAUGUUAAAUUAUUGGAUGAGACGUUAGCUCACAUCCAAAAGGAAAGAGAAUCAAGAUAAAUAUUUGUAGAACAGCUAAAAGAAAUUAAACUUGACUUCUACAACACAUGAAACCUCAAAGUAAACAUGGUCUGAAUAUUACACUGAUGCAUGAUGAUAAGACCAAUCACUGUAUAGAUGAUUCUGACCGGGAGUUUCCAACUUUCAAAAUAAAUUGGUUUCAUUUUACUGAAAAAAUUAGUGGUUGACUUAACAGGCAAUGUAAGCAGUUCAACCUAAAUAAGAAAAUAUGAAGCAUCUUUUCUUGGAUUGCAACAUGAAGAAGGAACUAUACUUGGAGUUCAACAUGAAGAAGGAGCUAUACCACGACUCUAUUCUUAAGCACAUCAGCAAUUACAGACAAUAUUUGUAUGCCGUUUUCUCUUUUCCUUAUUAACUAUUGCAAAUGUAUUGUACGCAUUAUAGAAAUCAAAUCCAUGCCAUCUUAGACCAUUGGAGGUGUAACACUCUCUAAAUUCUAUAUAAAUGCAAAGCCUAUGAACUGAUUUCAUUGUGCUGUUUUCUCUCCGGCAAAAGAAUUCUGGAUUAUUUGUUUGUUCGUUGAAUAUCGUUAAUUACAUAGCUACGGGUGAAAUGUUAAAAUAAAUGCUACAAAGUAAACCAAUAGUUAACAUAUAAAAAUCAAAUAAUAUAAAAAUCAAAAUUUCAGUUAACUAUUGAUUCCUCAAUCACUUACCGGCGGACAGUUUCAUACUUAUGCAAAGCGAGAUUCAGUAAAUCAUCCAUCAAAAUAGUCACGUGUUCAGGUGGACAAUAAUUCCCACCUGUACGGUAAAGAUGAUAUGAUGCUUGUGAAGACCUCCAGGUAUGGUGCAUAUGCGCCUUGUCGAUAAGAGCCCACCUAGGUCUGAAAUGACCACAAACUCAGACUUAUCAAAAAGUUCUUUACAGAAGUUCUUGCGUUCAAGAGUGAAGAGUGAUCAAAGUAUUAGUACCUUUUCUUUCCAUUAGAAUGAGAUGACACAAUAAAAUUAAUUGGCGGUUCUAUUAUGGCAUUGGCAGCAGAUUUUAACUUCCAAGACUGUCUGUGACUUGACCAGUCAUCAUAUUCCAUACUUCCUGUGUUUGAAAAGGGUUCGGAAUUAGUUAGGUUGUGCAUGUUAGCGGCCAACACUCGAGGGGAUUUAGUCCCACAUCGGAUAGAUAGGGUUCUUGAGAAGAGUUUAUAAACAGGAGGCACUCCUCACCGUACAAGCCGGUUUUGUAUGGAUGAGUUAGGUCUCGAUAUUCGUUACAGUGCAUGUACAAACAGAAUUUGGAAUAAUAUGCAUACACUUGAUUGGAUGGAGAAUUCAAUACCAUAAUUUCCCAAAGCCUCAAUAAUAGCAAUAACGAGUAUCAACAGGAAGCUGUCGUCAGAUUUAUUCUCAAUGACAUAUCUGUUAAACAGACAAAGUUUAAUAGCAUUUCCGGAUUGAUCGAAAACCACAUACACAUAAGUUGAAGGGAUGAUGUGUAGAGUAGCAGUAAAUGUGACCCUUACUUGCAGGCUGCAUGUACAAUCUCAGUAGCUUUAACUCUCAGAGCAGUAGUUCCAACAGUACAGCCUGUUGCCCCAGCAAUUAGAAAUGUAUGGUUUGAAUCUUCAACCAUUCCAUUCUUAGAGGCUGGGACAAAAUCAGGCAAGCAAGAAAAAAGUCCUUGCAAAGACAAUUCAAUAUGUAAAAGAGUCACUUGCAAGUGCUCUUUCUCAUCUCCUGCAUAUAAAACUACAUUCAAUUUAACAGUUAGAAUUAUUAUCCUAUAGGAAUUUCCUUCAUAGAAAACUAUCAUCCAAAUAUGUCUUAUGAUAAAUAAAUUACUAUAUCAGAAAAAGAGGAAAACUCCAAGAAAACAGAAUAACACGUAUUAGCAUAAUGAACAUAGAUAAUUUCAAGAAUUAUUCAUAAUUAAUACAAGUCUUCGUCGUCAAAGAGGAACUUAAAUAAGAAAUCUUGCUAAUGAACACAGGAUAACUAAUUAACUUCUCGAGACAAAUGCUUAUUUAUUAUACCUUCAUCGGCAUGAAUUUUAGUUUGGCAUAUUUUCAACAGAUCAUCCAAAGCAGAGUUAAAGUGAAUGUCUAAAAGCUCGUUUGCAAAAUGAAUUUCUUCAUCACAGGGAAUAUGCCACUUUGGAGUCAACCUUUCAUCAGCAGAAAAAUCUUUCGUACUAAUCCACUCUUCUAGAGCAACAACAACAGGGUGACUAAGUACACACCUUGAAACCCAAAAAACAGUGUUUAUGUUACUGAAGAUAUACAGCCACGGAAUCGAGGAAAAAAAUACUACGCAAACAUAGUGAAAUGAAUGAGCCCUUCUAAUACAUACUUAUACUGCUCUAUUGGAUAAUAGGUAAUCUGACUUCCAAGAAGAGACCUAAGAAGAUGAUUAGCAGCAUGAUUAACCUGUCAAUGAAAAUAGCAAUCAAAUAUAGAUAUGGAACCAAUGGAGUACUACUCAGCACCAAAUUCAUGUGUAUUAGUAAAAGAAUAUGUAGAAAUUACUAAUCAACUCUUUAAUUUAAGGAGUGACAUAAUGAAAAAUAAAAACCAUUAAAAAUAGAAUAAUAAUAAAAGAAAACAAUAUAUAUUUCAAUAGAAUAAACAGAUCGAGUGUAAGACCUCAAAAGAUGGUGAGUCAAAAGCCAAGAAGAUAACUUCUUUUAAUUGAUCCUUGUAGCGGAGGAGUGCUGGACCUCCAUACCAGAUACCAACUGCUAAUAUCAUUAGUUGAUAGCCAAUUGCAGCUUCAAGAGCUGGUGAAAUUGUGGACCUAACCUGAAGUAGAGAAGUCUCAGCUUUCCAGAGAAUCCAUACGCAACAUUGAAGUCAAAGACAAUCACAAAUAACCAAAAUCAGGUACCUUGGUUGAAGCAGAAGUAUCAAAAGUCCCACCUCCUCCAAAUCCAGUGCCUGGUGUUCCUUUCAAAGAGGACGUCACAGACACUAAUAUUGGCUCAACAAGUUGAUUAACUGCUUCUUCCGGGUUUGAGUGAACACACGCACGACAGAGCAAUCCAACCUCUGGAAUAGCACCAGGAAGAAUGUUUGUCGUCACAAACUUAGAAAUUUUCUUCAAUGCCUGUUUGAUAUGUCAGUGAAGUGCAAGACAAUAUAUUAGCUCAGAAAAAGUUAUCUAUAUCAAGUAUUUUUAAGUUAUAAAGUGAUACCUGAUUGUAUAGUGAUUUUGAAAGCCUCCCAAGAAGAAUUUCAUGAACAUGGAAGUAGUAUAUACCCUCAUCAAAUAGAAAAGUUCCUGAUGAGUGCAGACCUUCAUUUCUAAUAUACCAAAAACCAGUUAUCCAAUUAUAUACAUAAAAUCCACUUAAACAACAUCUUUUCCAAAUAAAAUUACAUGCAAGAGAGGGGGGAUUUUGACACCAUUACUUACAAAACACUGCUGGGUUCUAAGUGUAACAGUAGGGAAAACAGACGGCAUAAGAACUCAUCCAGCCAUUCAGAAAAACGGAUCUUUGGCAUAAAUGAUAAAUCGUCAAUUUUAUCAUCCAAUAAAGCCAACUGCAUUUACACGGUAGAGUGGUUAAGCAUUUGUUAUACUAGUACCGGCAAGAAGCUGUUUAUUCAAUAUAUCUAGAACCCGUUUAUCCAAUAUAUCAAGAAGUUGAAACUCACGUUUGAAAAUAUGGAACCAAUUAAUUGCAUGGUAGCUAAAGUUUUCGGAGGGUCAUUAGCAUCCAUGCCAAGUAAUGCAUUAGAUAAUGAAACCCCCACAAGAUCAAUGAAUGCUUCAUCACCACCGCCAAGAUCAACUUGUUUCAUGGAGGAAGCCGAUACAGAUGUAUAAAAUAGUGAGCGCCCAACAAAUGCCAGACAUAACUGCAAUUUUCAACUGGUGGGUGGCAGUCAUCUGGCCAGGCAAAAUGAAUAUGGUCAGAAAGACAAAUUAACACAAUACAGUAUACUUUUAAAGAGUAUCCCUCAGUGGACAUAUUACCAAGAAGAAAAUAUUAUUCUUUGUAAUUCCACUGACUACAUAUGAUUUCUGAAAUUCUACCAUGAAAAAUAUUCAAUCAACACAACUAACCGUCUCAAGGGCCAUUUGAAACCUAGAUGCCACAAAUGGAAGGACCAGUGAGGGUUCCACAUAAGACAAUAUAGAUGUUGCUUCAGCAACUGUCUCAGAGAGAUCCGUAUUCUUGCUGUAUUGACCACGAUCAAUUAAUUUUAGCAUUGUAUUCACAAAGAAGACCCUCUCUGAUUCUCCAAGAUGCUGUUCAGUGGGUCUGCAAUUAUUUAUGCCCCUAUAGAACAGAGUUUUUAAGUUCCAUAAAACAAAAUAGAUGACAAAUGAUGAUUGAUCUGUACAACUGUUCAUUUUGUAGACGCUUCUGGAAUUGAAUCACCAAAUGAAACAAAAACCGCUCCAGUGAGUAAGUCCAUCGACCACCAUUUGAGGGAUGAUAGUAUCUAAGGGAAGGGGGAAAAAACAACAAAAAGGGAAUAAUUGAAUUGAAGAAAAGGCAAACUUAAUUAAGCUAAAUAAUGCAAGCAAUGUGUAAGUAAACUAACUGUUCCAAAAUGUUGACCAAUUUCUCAAAGUGCUGUUUCGCUGAACUACCAGGUCUUAGCAAAUAUACCUGUAAUUGCAAUUACAAAAGAUCACUAUUAAAAGUAAGAAACCAGCAACAUCGCUCAAAUGUUAGAAUCCCACAAAAUUAUGGAACAACAUAUUUUCUUACAAUUGACUUGGAGAUAGCCUUUGCAGGGGUGGAAGUUCUAUAGGGAAACAAGAACCUUGUGUCUAUUGGGACAUUCCGUGAAAAGGGAUAUGAUCCACUUCCAUUUGCAACAGGAACCUGCGAUUCAUGAGUGCAAAAAUGAGGCAAAAUUCAAAUGACUAACCAAAGGAGUAAGCUAUGGAAAUGAAGAUCAAUUAGCUAUACAAAUAUUGAAUAAGUAAUGAAAUAUAUACAAAACAUAGCAGAACAAGAUGCGGGUGUACCUACAGAUCAACUAAUCAAAACAGUUUCGCCAGUCAAUGCAUUUUUUGCUGUAAACAAGAAUUUAAAAAUGCAAUAGAUAGUUUUGAUAACAUGCUCAUGACUUCGCAGGAAAUAGCUGAUAGAGCUGUGGCAUUAAGAUCGCCAUUUGCCAUUUGUUGGAGGUAUGUUUGGAAAUGGAUUGGAAUUCCUACGUAUAUAAUAAUGCAUCUCAAAGUAUAUCUUUGAAUGUUUGUAUAUAUGCAUGAAAGUUGAUAGGGAACUAAAUAAAUGUGGCUAUUAAGAAGGGCUUUGCUGGUCUUGUGGUAAAAUAAUGUGCAUGUUUGUUAUAUAUUUAAAAAAAAUGGAUUUUUCUUUGUAUUUCUAAAAAUUACUUUUUUGGAAAUAUAUUAAAAAAUAGUAGAAGUUAUUUUAAAUUCGUUUUCAUAAUUAAUGAAGAGAUUGUGAUAUACAAUAACUUAAAUAUUCAGUUAGAAAUUUUAUAUAGUAAAGAUCACAUAUUUUUUCAAUCAAUUUGUAAAUCAAAAUGUGAAUAAGAAUAAUUGAUAUGCUCACCUCAAACAUAUUUAAGUAUUUAGCAAAAAGCAAAGGCAACAACCCUUCCCAAUCGACAUUGUGGUAAUUUUUAACAACACGAGCUAUUACAUCUGCCCACUGACUGUUCCAGAAUUGGCAAUUUGGUAUAGAUUCCCACAAGCCUAUACACUCUGUAAUCCAAUCACUGCGAAUUCAAAUUGUAAGACUUCAUCGCACAGGAAGUCAAAUCAUAUAUCACAAAAAAUAAAUUUCCUAACAAAUUUAUGCUUCUUACUGUGUAUAAAAGGCCUGAUUGUCCAGAUUUGUUGGGAGAAACAGUCUAGCGAACCCAGAUCCAUCAAAGGAUGAAUUAUGCCAUGGGUUUUGCAAUAAAGAUCUACAAACCAUUCAUUGACCCAAAGAAAAAUAAUUAAUAAGAAAUUAAAUUAAACAAAAUCGAAAUUCAAAAAACAUAAAAGUCGUAAUACAGGUCCACCUUUAUUCCACAAUGCAAACAUAUACAAUUCACUUUCAUUUAGCUCAGUGUCAAUAAAUAGCACAAAAUAAAUAAAGGCAUAAGGAGAAAAACUUGUGAUAAUUCGAGAAUAAAACUAUGCAGAAACAAUGUCAGAGCGCUCACUUAAACUCAGACCAUAUCUCAAAGGCAGAACCCGAUGGGAAGAAUCUUCGGCAGGACUGAACAAGUGAAGUUAUAGUUUCAAAAUGUCGUUGUCUUAAUCUCCAUCCUUCUGGAUCUGUACUUCUGCAACAAUGAUAUAAUUCAUAAUCAUCAGCCUAAAAUUAUUGAACCUAAUAUUAAGCAAAGAAUUAAAUUGUUCAAGAUAUAUAUUCAAUUAUGUAUUUUGCUUUAGCAACGGACUUCUUAAGUUCAAACAUAAAUGAAGAAAAUUACUUUUUUUUUUGAACGAACUAAGAAAGUAACAUUGAAAUCAGAGAAAAGCUUAAGUUCAUAACUAAAGAUAACUUUUGUGUUUCCCUCAAAAAAAAAAAAAGAUAACUUCCGUGUUUAUUUCUAAUUCAAGUUUUAAAUCACCUGGAAUUAUUUUCUUUUUUUUCCCCUUUCUUUUCAAUGAUAAAACUAAGAAAUCAUAAAUUCCAUAGCUAGGUAUUGCAAACUAUUAACAACGCAGAAUAACUUCAAAGUUUAAACCAGUUAAAACUGCAAUAUUGACAGUAAUUGUACAAACCUUACCUAGUAAAAUGUGUGCAAAUCAACGUAUCAUACAUAGGCCUCCAUUCAAUAGUCAGUGCAAUCUUUUUCCUAUACUUGUUGAGUAGCCUGACUAAUAAAUUUCCCCAUCUAACCUAAUAAACAAAAAAUUACACAUUCAUUUAAGAGCAAGAAAACAAGAAAACUCCAUAUCUCAUCCAAGAAAAAAUGCAGCACCUGAGCAUAAAGCUUAUUACGGGACAUGUGAAAUAGUUCAAGACCCGUCUGAAUAAGGGUCCGGACAUCUUCCAAAGACACGUCACUUUUUGCCUUUAUGAAACUGCACAACACAUAAAAGUCAGAUUCCCUUCCGUUAACCAACUCCAUCCAGAUACAACCUAUGAACGAAAAACCACAUAUCCACUACAAACAAUGCAAUUUGGAAUGCAAUGAAGAGCGAGUAGAUACUGAUAAGAAUCUCCAAUUGAAUAAAAAAACACUGAAACUAGUGAUAACAGAACUACCAAAAAAAUGAAACAAGUGUAAUUGUUUAUACACAAUAUAUGAUGUGAUAUUACAGACACAAUUAAACCCUGACAACACUCUCAAGCAUUAUGUGUUUUGAUUUGAUUACUCAAAGAAAAUAAUCGCUUUUCUUUGACAGGUACCAGAGGGAAGUUUUGAUAACAAAAACUAUAAAGCAACCCACUUGGGUUGGCCUGGUGGUAUUGGCUUGGUACUUUGGAAUGUGUUCUCAGGUUCCAUUCCUCCCAGUAACAAUUUCGGUGGGCAAGUACAUACAGAGCAAAGCUCUAGCUUUAAAUGGGCCCCCACAUGUGGACGGUGAUAUUGGACCCCUCGGAUUAUCGGAUACCAAGUUUAAAAAUAAAAUAAAAAACUAUAAAGCAUUGACAAAGACAAUGACACUAGACAUGAAAUUGACACGUACACGCUGAUGAUAAUUUAAAACCGAAGUGAUUGAUCAUAACCAUACAUAAGUGUCAGUGUCGGACAUUGUACAGUGUAUGCUCCUUCAAUAUAAAGCAGCAGUGCUACAUAGAACAGAAGUCAUUAUAUCUCUCAUAAUUAAACUGAACCAAACAUAUAAUACAACCAAAAUCAACAUCAAUUCAUCACUCUCCUGUUUGUUGUUAAAUAGCGGCGCUAUACCACUAUAGAGUAGCAGAAUUCGGACAAAUAACUCUUCCAGUGUUUCAUGAUUCACUAUUUAGUAAUAAAUGUUCUCAAUUAGCGGCUAAUGUGGCGCUAUCGCACUACUGCUUCGCUAUCCGCGAGCGACAACUGUGCAGUCUCCUCAAGUAUUUUUCACACUCAGGUAAUCAGAAUAAUUGCAAAUUCCUUACAAAACAGUGAAAAAAUCUUCGAACAAUUACCACUAAAAAAAUCCCUACUACCUAAAUUAAUUAAAAAUAAGCAAAAAAACAAAAAACAAAUCAAUUGAAACAAAAACACGAUAAAAUCAAAAUACAACAACAAAAAAGAAAUUAAAGAAAACGAAAAUUAGCAACGAAUGCAGAGACAAAAUUGAAGAGUUGAAAAAUGGAACUAACAUGUCAAGAACGGAGAUGUAUUUGAGAGUAGAAUAAACGGAUUCGGGAUCAUCACGGUUGAAGGAAGAGUCGACAUAGGCGAUGAUACGAGCAAAGGAAUCUCUUUCGCCGGCAGUUUGAGCUGCCACCGGUGGCGGCAACCAUGCAUUGUAGAGAUGCAUUUUUUAAUCAAAAGAGUGGUUAGAUAUAGGGACAGAGGAGGUAAUUAAUUGUUGAUUUUGUUCUUGUUACUAUGAUGAGGCCGUCAUUAGAUUCACAAGGUUAAUUGCUUCCAACCAUUUUAACACUCUCCAUUAGCAAGGUGAUGUAAAAUCUAAUCUCAUCUUGCUCAUUUCAUUACCACAACAUUUUUUAGUUAUGAAAUCAAGCAAUGAUUAUGUAUUUAUACUCUUUGGACAAAUGUCACCCUAUAAAUAAUUCAUAUGUCAAUGAUGCACAAGAAAGCGAAGAACGGUUAUUGUGCCUCUUUAACCGAUGUAUUGUGGCAAAUAGUUCGAAUUACUCCAACGAAAACUCAAGAAUGAUCUGGCAUAUGUUUUUUUUUUUAAGGGAACGUCGCAUAUAGUUCGAAUUACAAGCUGAAGUCGGAUUUCCCUUACCAACUGAAAAUUCUUCGUUCUCCUCUUUCAUCUCCUUCUUCUCUCUCACAACGGCGGCGACGGUGAAGUUCUCGUGUAGAGGAACUAGAAGACGCUGUAGUUUUCAAGGAACUAAAGUGUUUUUUGUAACUAUAUGCGUCACAUUUCAAGAUGUUGAACAAACCCCUCAGCAAUAUCAUGCAACUUGAUAACAUUUUGAGAAUAGAGAAUAAUCUUUGUCACUGUAGUAUCUUGCAUAAAGCAAACUGCAAUUUUAACGUAAAUAUAAACGGAGAGAAUACAUGUUAAUAAAAAAUGAUAAAUAAAAGAAAAAAAACAGUAAUUUUAUCAAAUUAUCAUUAAUGAUCAUUUCUAUAUUAUCAAUAAUUCUAUAUUAUCAAUAAUUCAUAUGUUUUGAAUAUAAUCGAUCAUUUCUAUUCUAUAAUUGAUCAAACCUAUUAUUUUAAAUAUAUUUGUGUUAUAUUUUGCAUCAAAUCUAUUAUUUUAUUAUAUAUGUAUAAUACUAAUAUUAAUUAAAAAAAAUGUUCUGUAAUACUAAUAUUAUUUUAACGUAAUAGAAAAUAUAUUUUAUGCUAGAAAAGUUUUGUAGUGGAAAAUCAAGCAUAAACAAUUGAAAAAAAUCUUUUUAUUUUGACUCAAAUAAAUAAAUAAUUCUUUUAUUGUCAAAAAAUACAACGUACAAGUAUCAGUCACACACAAUGUAUAGAAAAAUUGUUUGUCAAACUACGGUAAUAUUUGUUUAUGGCAUUUUUCGAAGACUUUUAAAACCUAAACCAAAGUUUUCAACUAUAUUUCAAAUGGAAUUUUUCAAGAUUCUAUGUACACGUAUUUGUUAGUGCGGCACGCCAAGAAGAAUCGCAACAAAGAACAACGUUAACGUAAAAGCUGCUAUCCAUAGCUUCUUAUUUUUUAUGUCAAUAUCACCUUAGGACGCAAAACAAGUGCCAAGUAGAAUAAGAGUUUUGGCUAAAAAUAAAAUGUGGACAUCCUACUGGCGCAAUAUUCAUACAUACUCGUUAAGAGAUGUGAGACAUUGAGAAAAUUGUUUUUAGACUUAAAUAUGUGAUAAGACCCUGCAAUUACACCAAUUUUUAUGUCCCUGCACUUUGUAAAUAUCAUACUUGUACUUGAUGUUAGACAAGUUAGUUAUAUUCAGUUCAUAGCAUCAACGGUGACAACAAGAUAUACACAAUAUGCAUCUUACAAAUUAUAUUAAUGAGUCUGAUGAAAAAUAUUUGGAAUAUACUUUUCACAUUAACACUGCAUAUGCUCCAUGGUCCACCAUUAGUCAAGCUAGACUAUUCGUUUUUAUGUAUUGAUAAAAAAUAAAAAUAAAAAAUCGUUUUUAUGCAAAACAGAAAAAUUGAGAAUAAAACAGUCAAGCUAGAUUAUUCGUUUUUAUGUAUUGAUAAAAAAUAAAAAUAAAAAAACGUUUUUAUAAAAAACAGAAAAAUUGAGAAUAAAACAUUAAUCGGGAAUAACAUCACCAAUUACUUUAACCGUAAGCCAGAAGAAAAAGAAGAUACUAUUGAGAAGAUUAAGUUUGACCAAUCUAAGGCCAAACAACAGGAACACGAAAUGGUACCCACAAAUAACCUUGGGACACCACUGCAGCAACAACUGCAAGUUUUGCAAUGCCAUACAAUGUUUACCCAACAAUGUCUGGGUUUCAAUUCAGCCCAUCAUGUUUUUGGCAAUAAAGGGGAUGCAUCACAAUGGAGCCAAAGUUUAUGUACUGGAAGCACAUGCACAGCCAUGGAUAAGCAAAGCCGGUUUCAUGAAAAACUUGAAGAGGAAAAUGGGGAUGACUCUGAGGCAACAAAAGAAAUUAGAAAUCUAUCCAAUAUGUUCCAACUCAGACUGUGUCGUGUGGGAUUUACCAGCCGAUGAUUUAAUGAACCCUAUGGUAUAAGAAAUAUUAUAUUACAAAAUAGAGGAAGCUUAGAAGCUCAACUUGUGAGACUGCAUUAUGGAAUAAAAUUCUUACAAAUAUGAUCAAUGGUACAAAAUGUAAACGAGCUAUUUUUACAAAUUACAAAUACACAACAAAUGAAAAGCAUAUUAUGCCUAACAAAUUUUCUUUUUACUUCCUAACAGUAUCUUUGGAUUAUUAGAUCACGCAAAAUAUGAUGAUGAAGAGGAUGUAUCUGCCAGAAUCUGUGAAUAUGGGGGAGAAAUAAACAUUAGGACACAUAUAAAAUAAAAAACACAAGUAAUAAUUACGUUUUCCAAAUCAUAGCACAAUAUGUUUCGUCUACAUAAAAGCUACCUCAAGCUGCUCUUCAGUGAAUAACUCUUUCUGAACAUUCCAUGUGUCAGCAUGGGUCCGCCGGAAUUCUGCAACAGCUUUUGUAACAGUGGAUUUCACAGGGGAUGGCUCCCCACUAAAGCGAGCUAGUAGUGUAACAUGCUCAGGCAACCAACUGAAAGUAGUUAUGCAGUCAGAUAACAACGGAAAACAUAGUGUCAAAAGAACCAAUAAUUGUGUAAUCAAGAAAAAAAAGCCGGUGGUUAAAAAGCAACUUAGGAUAAAAAGCAACUUAGGAUAAAAAGCUAAGCUUUCAAAUAUCUCCAAGACAAAGAUAACAAAGAAAGUGUUGGACAAACCUGGGCAUGUCAUAUGGGGCUGAUAAUACAGAAGCUACCAAAGCUAGUACAGCACCAUGAACAGAUGCUACAGACGAACCAGAGCUUGCCUUUCUGCAAUUGAAAAUUUCCCUACUUGAUCAAACGUGAAAUGUGCUAUAGGAGACGGGGGGAGGGAGAGAGGGCGGGCGUGGGGGCAAGAUGAUCAUAUUAGCUGGUCAAUUGACAAAAAUAAAUCAUGUUUGCAAAUCCCACCCUAUACACAAUGCAGUCCAGCCUACAUGUUAAAUAAUAUUUUUUUGACACGCUGGAUGCACCAUGACUUCACUUCUCAUUAAUGGAAAACAUUCCAGAGUUAAAUAAUUAAGCUUAUUGUCCAUGUAGAGAAAUCAAGUUUCAACUAUAGCAUGAAUAGCUUUUUCAUAAAGGUACGAAGUUACAAUUACAGAUAUAACUUUACAAGACCAUUAACAAUAGAUAAAGAUGAUAUUACAUUCAAAGAAAUUAAUCAGCAUUUAGGUUUUCUGUGAGGCCCACUUUUUCACAAAACAACAACUAAACUUCACAUAAACACGAGAAAAUCUUCGGAACAAUAUUAGUUGAAAGAAGUUACCUCGAUUUUCUCCUCUUUUGUACAAUAUUUGCCUCAACAUAAGCUCGAUCACGGAAAUCUUUAGCUAAAUCUUCAUCUCCACCUUUCAUUAAGCCUGCUAAAACUGCCGCAGCAUGUUCUCUUACCUAGACCAAAGAUUAAGUCUUCCAGAAUGAGGUAAUUUAAAUGCAGUAAUUAGAACCACAUAAGAUUAAAUGAAAAUAGAAACCAUCAAUAGAAGAAAUCACGAGAAAAGAAAGCCAGAACAUGGUUUCCCUAAAAUACGUGUUCAUAUAAAUUUGUUCACAUGAGGAACUACCACUAAAAACUAAUUUUUUUUUAAGUGAACACACUUUCUCCACAGGUAAGUCAUACAACUUCCCAUUUUGUGUGUGUGUGUGUGUGUGACGGGGGUAGCUCAACUGGUUUGAGCUAAGGGAAAUGGAGGUCCUGGGAUCAAACUCGGACGAAGGAGAAAAACAUUAAUCUAACAAACUAACUACUAGCAUUUGCCAUUCACAAAAAACAAAAAAACCAUUUGGUGUAUGAUCUUGCUUCAUUCACAACCCUGUUCUUAAAAGUGGAAAGAGGUUCCAGGCUAAUAGACAAGUAGGACCUAUCAGGUGAAAACUUCUCAACAAGCUUAGGAUUUUAUAUAUAGUACAGACGUCUCAUCCUAAAUCACCCAAAUUCCAAAAUAAAGGGAGAAAAACAACAUAGUUUGCACUUCUAUUUAAAGAGCGAGAGCUUGCCUCAACUUGGUUGUCUACUAGUAACUUCUCAACCGUUCUCCAAAUUUCUUGUUUCUUUGAACUUGAGAGAAUGAAAGUGUGCCUGUUAAAGAUGGGAACAAACCUUUAUUUUCAUCUGUUUGAUAACAGGCAGUAGUAAGAUAAUUAUGAGAAAUUUUGCGAAAAUUAUUACAAUGAAAAACUUCUGAAGUACUAUUUGCUUAUAUUUCAAAAGAGGGAUUUAAAUCAGUUGUCUUAAAAAUCAAAUAUUACCACAUGAAGAUAAAUGCGUAUAAGGACUCCAACUAUUUAAACUUUAAAGUAUGGUAUGCUGAAGCAAACCAGUCACAAGAUCAAAUACCUGUACAUGAAAGUACGCAGAUAUGUCAAUGUAGCGGAUCUCGUUCGCCAGUUGGAAUCAUUGGCAGAAGAAAGAAUCACAUCUAUGGCCUUUUGGAGGUGAGGUUCCCAAACAAUCAUCCAUUUUAGUAAUUCAAAUGCUGCCUUGGCUAAUGUUGACAAAUCCUUAUUUGAUGUCUCCUUCAAAAGAAAACAACAUUACUCAGAAGUGUGAUAACCGAUAUACUUGAAAUUGAAUGAUGAUAGAGAAAGGAAAUGAAUAUAAAAAAUAUUCUAGGCAAUCGUCCGCUUUUUGCACAAAAUGUUAGUACCUCUCUCAGACAGGAUUGAACCUUGGUUCACUAUGUUGUGGGAGUCUAGCCCCUUCUGCUAGAUCAACCCUUGUUGGUAAAUGUUGUCUAAUUUUUUAAUACAACUUCUCAAAGGUAUAGGAAUGUUAAAAGCAAUGUUGUGCGUACCCUCAUUAAAAGUCUUGCAGCAGUAAGCUACACAAAUUGACACAUGAUUUUCUAUUUCACUAAUCAUUAAUUCCAUGUAACCGCAAAAGCAUCUCAAUUGAAGUGUCCUGAUAUGAAUUUAGCAUAAUAAUGAGAAAUGGAAGCUUGUCUAUAGAAAGAAAAUUGCCUAUCUCUGUAGUUAAUACCAGCCACUAUAACAGCGCUAUGUAGGGUAGAAGCCUCUAGGCGCUACAAGAAUCCUUGUUGCAUUAAAUUUUUGAGCAUCAGUGGCAGAGUUUGACUGACUUUUUUGUAAAUGAUAGGUGGUGUAGCGGUUACUCCAUUGGUUUUUAGCUUCGACGCAGAGUUGGAAUCUUGCCUAUGGAAAUUCGCACAUGUGCCUGGUAUUAUGGUGUAAAUUCUUGUAUUAUUUCCCCAAACAUCGACGUAGCAGCCAUAUCGCUACCUACUAUAGCACUUCAGCGUUGAGGAUCAGCUGCUAUCCGCCAUAGACUACAUAGCCACCUACUAAUAUUUUAUGCAAGGACAUGCACAGGUAUUCUUGAACUCUAAGAACCUCAAUUAAGAAAUUCCAAGAUUUCAAGGGAUUAUACUUCAGAUUUGGUCACAUUCUUUGCCGGCAACCAUGUUACUGGUUUUAGGAUUUUGGUGGAACCAGAAUCUUGGAAGAAAGUUAUGAGCAAAAAUUUCAAGAUAUAUUAUCCUAUUAAUCAACUCCUGGAAGAAAAUCAGGAUUCUGAGUUUGGUGUUUUUACGAAACUUUGGUUAAUACCAAUAACAUAAUCUGGUGUCUAAACUUGAAGGCUUAAGAGAAUAAGAAAAUCAAAAUCCUCAAAAAAAAAAUCAUACAAUUUGUGAAAAUAAAAUACACAAUCAAGUUCACAUAAUAAGGGAAGAAAUUGGAUCAGAGUUAUGAAUAUUGUCAAACAUGAAGUAAAAAAUUGCAUAUCAUCAUAAAUACAGUCAAAUGUUUAGCACAAACCUGCAAGGAAAUCACAGGAUAAAGAAGCCCCACAAUCACAUCACGUAGAUAAGAGGAUCUCCCAGACUUCAACGAUGAGAUGAUAAAGUAAAGUAGCUGCAUUUGUUUGGAACAGUAAACAAUUAGUAAAACAAAUAGUAAAAAAUAUAAUAAUAAGUAAAAGCAAAAUCCAUAAAUAUAUAUCUCAUAUUAGUACCGUUUCCAUCCAUUUCAUAUCAUCUUGUGAAUCCCCGUCUAAAUGCCCAUUUUGAGAAUUUGUAUCUAUUGUAUUCACAGCUUUAUCUGAUUGAGAAGCAAUAUGAAUGUUCACAACUGCUUCAGCUGCUCUCUCUAUAAGACAAUGAACCCAACUUUCAUCUUUCAUCAAAUUAUCAGCAUCGUUGGUUCUCUCAUCACCCACAUUAUCACGAUGACUUGAAUGAUAUAGCCGAAUGUUAGAGCAUAAUACAGAAAGGGUAACACCUAGAGCCUCCCUCACCUGUGGCAUAUUAAAAUAGGUCAAAACCAAAAACAAUUAAGGAAAUGUCUACCCACUUAUAUAUUCAUAUUGCAGAACAGGGAGGGGGCAUCUGUUCCAGAGCCAAACCGCUUAUUCCAACCACUCUCUCCAAAUGGAUGCAUAUAGAAACAGAGAUCUUUUAUGUUCAAAUACUACCUACCAUGCAUUAGUUAAUAAAUUUAUGCAUGGCUUCAAUGUAAGUUUUUCUCCUUGCAACUUCCCCAACUAUUUUUAAAAUCAAAAUCAUAUACCCAAAAUUUUGUUAUGAUAAUUAACACUAACCCUAUAUACGUAAUUCCAUAAAGAGAUAAACCAGAGCACAGUAGUGUAUACAGCAGUUAUAUUCUCCGGGACAGUCAACCAAGUCAAGUGAUACAAUACGCCUUAAAGAUGUAAACUCAGCUAUAUUCUAGAUCAGUCUAUUUAAAAACAUUAGGAAUUUGAACUAUAAUCAAAUUGGCUGGAAACAAGGGAGGGUGGAAAGUAAUGGAUCAAAUGGAGAGUUAAAACAUGAUUGAUUAAAUAUAAAGGUUCAGAGGAAAUGCAUACUUGGGCUGAUGAGUGGCACAUAUUACCAAGAACUUCCUUCAGCAGGGUAUUGUGGAGCUGGAUUUCAGCUAAUGGCAUUUUCUGUGGAGAUAUUUCUAUAAGUGAAGCAGCCAGAAAAGCAUAUCGCUUGGCUGUUACAGUGGUAGCUACUGUUGGAGGUAAAGGUGUCAUCAAGGAAUCCAGAAUUUUCUGCCUCAAAAGAGGAACUCUUGUUCCAAACUUUCCUUUACCAGUAACGGCAUAUCUUAUGCAAGAGGACCACUCAGGAACUGAUUCAACAGAUGGUGCUAAAAUUAUAUUCUUCAACUGGGGCAUCAGCCAGCUUUCCCAUGCUCCUGACAGACCGUCAAUAUCAGAAUGCAGCACACCUGCCAAUGCUUCAGCGGCUACACACUGUUUAGACCUCUCCUUAGCAAUUGUAAACUCGUCUACUGCAUCUUUAAGAGCCAACACUACAGGCAUGCCACAUUCUUGUACUAGCCGCUUGAAAAUACGAGCAAAACUAGAGUAGAAUGUAUCACUUCCUAAAAAGGAGAUCCAACUUGGUGUACGUGGCCAUGAAGCCGAAAAUUCAAAAUAAAAACGGGUUAUGGAUUUGUCUGCUAAGCUUUGAAUACUGGAAUCUCCUUGGUUUCCUCUAGAAGCAGAUUCAUUGUCAGUUAUUAUGUGAACAUGAGAAAGACUAGUGAGUGUGUCAUUGAAGAAAUCAUCUUCCUGAAAAGUUUGGGUUAAAGCUCCUUCUAGGGAUGACUUGACAUGGCCUUUCAAAUCCUCGAGUACGUCAGAUUUCUCACCAGGAGACAACUUAUAAGGUGAUUCCUUUAACAAUGUAUUCAGAGCCGAAAUAGCAAGUAUCCUUGUCUGAGGAAGUUGACUUUUCAAAUUCUUCAAGAAGUGUCCUAAAUAAGAAACAGUAUGAAUAGCAUAAAGACAGGUGCAUAAAAAGGUGCAGAAAUGCCGACUUUUAAUGUGCAAAAGGCAAGCAAAAAAAGUAUAACAGAAAACGAAAGAUCCAGAAGCAAACAAGAAGCUGUACAAACCAGC